This 725-nucleotide ribosomal RNA is filed under the name uncultured bacterium. RNAcentral describes it as "bacterial SSU rRNA". It matches the Rfam family "Bacterial small subunit ribosomal RNA", at positions 117 to 879 of the family's 1533-position model. The record is from RNAcentral.
GUGGGAAUGUACCCUUCACUACGGAAUAGUCCCGGGAAACUGGGUUUAAUACCGUAUACGCCCUUCGGGGGAAAGAAUUUCGGUGAAGGAUCAGCCCGCGUUAGAUUAGGUAGUUGGUGGGGUAAUGGCCUACCAAGCCUACGAUCUAUAGCUGGUUUGAGAGGAUGAUCAGCAACACUGGGACUGGGACACGGCCCAGACUCCUACGGGAGGCAGCAGUGGGGAAUCUUAGACAAUGGGGGAAACCCUGAUCUAGCCAUGCCGCGUGAGUGACGAAGGUCUUAGGAUCGUAAAGCUCUUUCAACUGUGAAGAUAAUGACGGUAGCAGUAGAAGAAACCCCGGCUAACUCCGUGCCAGCAGCCGCGGUAAUACGGAGGGGGUUAGCGUUGUUCGGAAUUACUGGGCGUAAAGCGCACGUAGGCGGAUUGGAAAGUUGGGGGUGAAAUCCCGGGGCUCAACCUCGGAACUGCCUCCAAAACUAUCAGUCUAGAGUUCGAGAGAGGUGAGUGGAAUUCCGAGUGUAGAGGUGAAAUUCGUAGAUAUUCGGAAGAACACCAGUGGCGAAGGCGGCUCACUGGCUCGAUACUGACGCUGAGGUGCGAAAGUGUGGGUAGCAAACAGGAUUAGAUACCCUGGUAGUCCACACCGUAAACGAUGAAUGCCAGUCGUCAGGGGGCUUGCCCCUUGGUGACACACCUAACGGAGUAAGCAUUCCGCCUGGGGA